This 374-nucleotide ribosomal RNA is filed under the name uncultured organism. RNAcentral's name for it is "partial 16S ribosomal RNA". It matches the Rfam family "Bacterial small subunit ribosomal RNA", at positions 526 to 896 of the family's 1533-position model. The record is from RNAcentral.
GGGGGGGGGCAAGCGUUGUUCGGAAUUACUGGGCGUAAAGGGCGCGCAGGCGGGCGGGAAAGUCUCUCGUGAAAUCCCACGGGCUCAACCGUGGAACUGCGGGAGAUACUACUCGUCUUGAGUUCGGGAGAGGAGUGUGGAAUUCCCAGUGUAGCGGUGAAAUGCGUAGAUAUUGGGAGGAACACCGGUGGCGAAGGCGGCACUCUGGACCGAUACUGACGCUGAGGCGCGAAAGCUAGGGGAGCAAACGGGAUUAGAUACCCCGGUAGUCCUAGCUGUAAACGCUGAGCACUUGGUGUAGCGGGUAUCGACCCCUGCUGUGCCGAAGCUAACGCAUUAAGUGCUCCGCCUGGGGAGUACGGUCGCAAAGGCUG